Molecule: long non-coding RNA, 442 nt
Filed under: Androctonus crassicauda
Lineage: Eukaryota; Metazoa; Arthropoda; Arachnida; Scorpiones; Buthidae
Source: RNAcentral
AUGUGAAGCAUUAAAUUUCCAUCCAACAAAAUCACAGAAGAAAGUCUUAAAGAGGAUGCAUAAAUUUUUGGCUUUUGGUAAAACAAAAGAUGACAGUGUGAGUUUCGUCCUCAUCAUAGAAUGAAAUGAUCUUUAUUUUCUAGUGCUUACACUCUUAAUUGAUGUCAAUGUAGGCUUCUAAUGAAUCUGAAAUGGAAUCUGCCAAGAGUGAUUCUCAUUUUGAAUACCCGGAUGACAUGCGUAUGAAGGACGCUGUUUGCAAGGCAGAAAAAAAUUUGAAAGACAAACAGUUAGAGGAAGAAUGCAGCCCAGGGAAUGUUGACGAAUUUUCUCAAAAAGAACAGAAUUUGAUGAAUCAAGAAUCUCUCAAUAAAAAUGUACCUGUUAAAUCAGAUUUAAAUAAAAGUAAAUGAAUUUAAAUUUGAUAUUUUUUAAUUCCUGC